Molecule: ribosomal RNA, 600 nt
Filed under: uncultured bacterium
Lineage: Bacteria
Description: partial 16S ribosomal RNA
Source: RNAcentral
CGCGAAUUCGCCCUUACGGUUACCUUGUUACGACUUCACCCCAGUUACCGGCUCCACCUUCGGCAGCUCCUUCCUUUCGGUUAGGUCACUGACUUCGGGCAUUUCCGACUCCCAUGGUGUGACGGGCGGUGUGUACAAGACCCGGGAACGUAUUCACCGCGACAUUCUGAUUCGCGAUUACUAGCGAUUCCAGCUUCAUGUAGUCGAGUUGCAGACUACAAUCCGAACUGGGACGUUAUUUUUGGGAUUUGCUCAACGUCACCGUCUCGCUUCCCUUUGUUUACGCCAUUGUAGCACGUGUGUAGCCCUGAUCAUAAGGGGCAUGAUGAUUUGACGUCAUCCCCGCCUUCCUCCCGGUUAUCCCGGGCAGUCUCUCCAGAGUGCCCAGCUCUACCUGCUGGCUACUGGAAAUAGGGGUUGCGCUCGUUGCGGGACUUAACCCAACAUCUCACGACACGAGCUGACGACAACCAUGCACCACCUGUCUCCAAUGCCCCGAAGGGAAAGUGACUUUGCUCACUCGUCAUCGGGAUGUCAAGACCAGGUAAGGUUCUUCGCGUUGCUUCUAAUUUAACCACAUGCUCCACCGCUUGUGCGGGU